GUGCACAGCCCAGUGUACAGCAGAAUGAGCCUCCUGUCACCAGCCCAGAGCUCUCAGACAGAAUUGAGUUCCUGUACAGUAGGACUUUCCACUCAUGUCUGUGGUCUAGGAGGAGAUUGGGUUGGGCAAACACCAGGCACGAUGGAGCAACCAUUAACCCUGGAGUUGUGAAGACAGGACCACAAGCUGAGAGAGGGCAGCAAUGGAAACCCAGCCAAACUAUUAAUGGAAGGCUGGGUCCCAUUCUUUAUUAUCCUUCUGUGGUCUCGUCACCAGCAGGGUGAGCCAAAGCCGAGGGCAAGAACACGCUGGGUGACCUUCCACACCCCAAAUGCAAGAUCAAGUGCUGUGGAGAAGGAGGCCCAUGGAAGAACUCGCUAGUGGAAACUGUCAACAUUGACUAGCUAUCAUGAGCCAGGACUGAUGGGAUGACGUGAGCAGAGGACACCAUUAUUUUGUGCUUCAUCAAAGUUGCAAGCUUAAUAAGUGACAAAGUGGGGUCCAAAACCCAAUUUCCAAACAGGAAAGCAGAAAACACUUUGAAUCUUCAUAAUAGAAGAGACUUAACACAGAGACAGAGUUACAUGGUGACAACAGAAACUGUUGGGAUUCAAUUGGGGGCCAGAGGGCAAUGCAGGGACUCGCAAAGCCAGAAAGCUAGCAGCACCCCAGGCUGAGGAGGAAUGGUGUGGGCCUACCAGAGUAAGGGCUGGGUUCACCUGGGGGCAUCAUCCCCUAAACUCCCUCGUGACAGCCCUCCCCAUGCUGUACUGCAAUGGCCCAAUGGCAGGCUACUGACUCGACGACCUGGACUCCUUGGACCCCAUCACAUCUUGCUCAUUUUCUAUAUAGUCAGCAGCACUGGGCACAGGGAAAGCAAUCAAACAAACAAACAAACAAACAUGAAGGAUCAAACAAAGCAAUCAAACAAACAAACAUGAAGGAGGCACGAUAGACAACCUGGACACCUCCAGACGAGGCUGGAAGAACAUGAGUCAGAGGACAGACUGGCUGGAACUGGAAUCCAGAUUCUGAAGAUAGCUCCCAG
Molecule: long non-coding RNA, 1048 nt
Filed under: Homo sapiens (human)
Lineage: Eukaryota; Metazoa; Chordata; Mammalia; Primates; Hominidae
Description: HSALNT0215475
Source: RNAcentral